CAAUAGCGUAUAUUUAAGUUGCUGCAGUUAAAAAGCUCGUAGUUGGAUUUCGGGUGGGAAUGGCCGGUCCGCCGUUUCGGUGUGCACUUGCUACGCCCACCUUGCUGCCGGGGACGUGCUCUUGAGUUCACGCUCGGGACACGGAGUCGGCGAGGUUACUUUGAGUAAAUUAGAGUGUUCAAAGCAGGCCUACGCUCUGAAUACAUUAGCAUGGAAUAACACGAUAGGACUCUGGCCUAUCUUGUUGGUCUGUAGGACCGGAGUAAUGAUUAAGAGGGACAGUCGGGGGCAUUCGUAUUUCAUGGUCAGAGGUGAAAUUCUUGGAUUUAUGAAAGACGAACUACUGCGAAAGCAUUUGCCAAGGAUGUUUUCAUUAA
Molecule: ribosomal RNA, 377 nt
Filed under: uncultured eukaryote
Lineage: Eukaryota
Description: partial 18S ribosomal RNA
Rfam family: Eukaryotic small subunit ribosomal RNA
Source: RNAcentral